GGUCCCAUCGUCUAGUGGUUUAGGACGCAGGCCUCUCACGCCUGAAACACGAGUUCGAAUCUCGUUGGGACCA
This 73-nucleotide transfer RNA is filed under the name Pseudomonadota bacterium. Its description in RNAcentral is "tRNA-Glu". It matches the Rfam family "tRNA". Rfam says of the family: Transfer RNA (tRNA) molecules are approximately 80 nucleotides in length. Lineage: Bacteria; Pseudomonadati; Pseudomonadota. RNAcentral also lists the same sequence under 1 other name. The record is from RNAcentral.